Molecule: long non-coding RNA, 1078 nt
Organism: Zeugodacus cucurbitae (melon fly)
Lineage: Eukaryota; Metazoa; Arthropoda; Insecta; Diptera; Tephritidae
Exons: 3
Source: RefSeq, a predicted model, not a curated record
AUUUAUUCCAUUGAAAGUCUGUUUUGUAAAAAAAUAACCUUUAAUGGAAAUACAAUCACAAUUGUUUUUUUUAUACAUUUCUAAGGAUCUAAAUAAAAAAGUUAUAAUAAUCACGUUUUUAUAGCAAGUUCAAGCUUCAUAUUCGAAACUACGAAAACACUAUUGUGAAUAGAUAAUGUGUGAGACGAAACCCACACUGAAAUUUGCAUUAUUCGAUGAUUUGCAAAUUUUUACGCGGCUAAAGUUCGAAGUGCGAUUUCAAUUUUUUCGGAGCGUAUUUAUUAUAAAUAAAUCAAUAAUAUGUUAAUAAACGUAUUACUAGAGACUUAAACGUGUUUAAUGAAGUGUUCGUAAAGUACUUUUGUAUAAAACAUUAAAUAUUUCGGAUAAAUCUUGUUAAGUUUGUUAUAGAAUCAAGCAACCGUCGAUCACUUAUUGCAGUAUCAUUUCAAAGUUACAUGUGCAUACAGAUUCAUAAUAUUAAUAGUAAAUCAAUAUAAUAUGUUAAGUCGUAAUUACUCACUGCACUCUGCAUAUGCCUUGUGACCUCUGUUGAAGGUCAUUCAACAUUCAAUUCAAUAUAAGUCAUGAUUGGUUUAAAUAUUGCUAUUGAUCAGUAGCAACUACAUUGUUAUGCUAACAAUUAGUGUUCUUUCGACCAGCCAAUGUGCGCUGCGUGUACCGGCAGGUAGUCAAAUAUUUCUUCUCUGACUACCAGCCAAUGACAACUGCUUGAAAUGUUCUGAUGAGCUGAAUAAAGGACUGAAACGGUGAACAAAGAAAAAAAGGAGGAGCGUAUUUAGCACCAUAACAGCUUUGCAUGCACAAUCCAUAGCUGCUCUUACUGCAACAGCAAGCAUACCAAGCUGCAAGAGCGCCACUCAAAAUUGUUUGACUGACUAUGCAACAAGUUCACGUUUAAUGCUAUUUAUAAGUCGGUAUUAUGCAAACUAUGCCAUUUGCAGAAAAUAGCAUCAAGUGCCUAAGCAGAAUCGCGCAUAAGAAAUACUAACGCAAUUACUGCCACAGUUUUGUAAAUACUGAAAAUGAAACAAAGUGCAUUUCUGCAUAUAAAUAG